Molecule: microRNA precursor, 118 nt
Filed under: Capsicum annuum
Lineage: Eukaryota; Viridiplantae; Streptophyta; Magnoliopsida; Solanales; Solanaceae
Description: mir-166 microRNA precursor family
Rfam family: mir-166 microRNA precursor family
About the family: This family represents the plant microRNA (miRNA) precursor mir-166.
Source: Rfam by way of RNAcentral
GUUGAGGGGAAUGUUGUCUGGCUCGAGGUCACCAAUUAGAUCCAUAAGCCCCAUUCUAUGAAAAAGGGGUUAUGAAUCAUGAGUUAGUGUUGUCGGACCAGGCUUCAUUCCCCCCAAU